UUUUCCAUGAUUUUUUGUGGUUUUUUUUUAAAUUACCAAAUUACUCCACAUAAUAAUGCCCUACACAUAUCGCCUUUUUCUUUUCACCACAGCCGCCAAUAUCAAGUUCUCCACAGCUACCUCCGGCUCCUAGUUCCGGCUCCCAGUUCCGGCGCUAAGAUGUGGCACGACACGAGAGAGGCUACGGAUAAUGAAAUAGAUGUUUUGUUGAUGACGUUGAUGCCGAAGUUUUUUAGAGAGUUAAGUAUCUCGUUAGAUUAGCUUAUGUAGUUUAUUUAUACAAUUUAACGUAGUUUGUUAUGCAUCCAACAAAUGUUUGUAAUUUGACGGGUUUAUUUCCGAAUUGGAUGUCUAUGGGUUUAUUUCCGAUUUGAAUGUGUAUUGUUUUGGUUUGAUUUGAAAAUGUUCCAUUGGUAA
Long non-coding RNA from Helianthus annuus (common sunflower), 417 nucleotides. RefSeq lists it as uncharacterized. The record is from RefSeq and is a predicted model, not a curated record. The transcript is spliced from 2 exons. Lineage: Eukaryota; Viridiplantae; Streptophyta; Magnoliopsida; Asterales; Asteraceae.